This 254-nucleotide ribosomal RNA is filed under the name uncultured bacterium. RNAcentral's name for it is "partial 16S ribosomal RNA". It matches the Rfam family "Bacterial small subunit ribosomal RNA", at positions 524 to 776 of the family's 1533-position model. The record is from RNAcentral.
CACGUAGGGUGCGAGCGUUGUCCGGAAUUAUUGGGCGUAAAGAGCUCGUAGGCGGUGUGUCGCGUCGGCCGUGAAAACCUGCAGCUUAACUGUGGGCUUGCGGUCGAUACGGGCAUCACUGGAGUUCGGCAGGGGAGACUGGAAUUCCUGGUGUAGCGGUGAAAUGCGCAGAUAUCAGGAGGAACACCGGUGGCGAAGGCGGGUCUCUGGGCCGAUACUGACGCUGAGGAGCGAAAGCGUGGGGAGCGAACAGA